AUGCAAGUCGAACGAUGAACCACUUCGGUGGGGAUUAGUGGCGAACGGGUGAGUAACACGUGGGCAAUCUGCCCUGCACUCUGGGACAAGCCCUGGAAACGGGGUCUAAUACCGGAUACUGAUCCUCGCAGGCAUCUGCGAGGUUCGAAAGCUCCGGCGGUGCAGGAUGAGCCCGCGGCCUAUCAGCUUGUUGGUGAGGUAACGGCUCACCAAGGCGACGACGGGUAGCCGGCCUGAGAGGGCGACCGGCCACACUGGGACUGAGACACGGCCCAGACUCCUACGGGAGGCAGCAGUGGGGAAUAUUGCACAAUGGGCGAAAGCCUGAUGCAGCGACGCCGCGUGAGGGAUGACGGCCUUCGGGUUGUAAACCUCUUUCAGCAGGGAAGAAGCGAAAGUGACGGUACCUGCAGAAGAAGCGCCGGCUAACUACGUGCCAGCAGCCGCGGUAAUACGUAGGGCGCAAGCGUUGUCCGGAAUUAUUGGGCGUAAAGAGCUCGUAGGCGGCUUGUCACGUCGGUUGUGAAAGCCCGGGGCUUAACCCCGGGUCUGCAGUCGAUACGGGCAGGCUAGAGUUCGGUAGGGGAGAUCGGAAUUCCUGGUGUAGCGGUGAAAUGCGCAGAUAUCAGGAGGAACACCGGUGGCGAAGGCGGAUCUCUGGGCCGAUACUGACGCUGAGGAGCGAAAGCGUGGGGAGCGA
RNAcentral lists this ribosomal RNA (700 nucleotides) under Streptomyces sp. DRL303. RNAcentral's name for it is "bacterial SSU rRNA". It matches the Rfam family "Bacterial small subunit ribosomal RNA", at positions 55 to 771 of the family's 1533-position model. Lineage: Bacteria; Bacillati; Actinomycetota; Actinomycetes; Kitasatosporales; Streptomycetaceae. The record is from RNAcentral.